UAGGGAAUCUUCGGCAAUGGACGAAAGUCUGACCGAGCAACGCCGCGUGAGUGAAGAAGGUUUUCGGAUCGUAAAACUCUGUUGUUAGAGAAGAACAAGGACGUUAGUAACUGAACGUCCCCUGACGGUAUCUAACCAGAAAGCCACGGCUAACUACGUGCCAGCAGCCGCGGUAAUACGUAGGUGGCAAGCGUUGUCCGGAUUUAUUGGGCGUAAAGCGAGCGCAGGCGGUUUCUUAAGUCUGAUGUGAAAGCCCCCGACUCAACCGGGGAGGGUCAUUGGAUACUGGGAGCAUUGAGUGCAGAAGAGGAGAGUGGAAUUCCAUGUGUAGCGGUGAAAUGCGUAGAUAUAUGGAGGAACACCAGUGGCGAAGGCGGCUCUCUGGUCUGUAACUGACGCUGAGGCUCGAAAGCGUGGGGAGCAAACAGG
This 429-nucleotide ribosomal RNA is filed under the name Gemmatimonadota bacterium. RNAcentral describes it as "Gemmatimonadetes bacterium partial 16S ribosomal RNA". It matches the Rfam family "Bacterial small subunit ribosomal RNA", at positions 355 to 776 of the family's 1533-position model. The record is from RNAcentral. Lineage: Bacteria; Pseudomonadati; Gemmatimonadota.